GUAGUCCACCCCGUAAACGUUGGGAACCAGUUGUGGGGUCCUUUCCACGGAUUCCGUGACGCAGCUAACGCAUUAAGUUCCCCGCCUGGGGAGUACGGCCGCAAGGCUAAAACUCAAAGGAAUUGACGGGGACCCGCACAAGCGGCGGAGCAUGCGGAUUAAUUCGAUGCAACGCGAAGAACCUUACCAAGGCUUGACAUACACGAGAACAUCCCAGAAAUGGGGGACUCUUUGGACACUCGUGAACAGGUGGUGCAUGGUUGUCGUCAGCUCGUGUCGUGAGAUGUUGGGUUAAGUCCCGCAACGAGCGCAACCCUCGUUCUAUGUUGCCAGCACGUAAUGGUGGGAACUCAUGGGAUACUGCCGGGGUCAACUCGGAGGAAGGUGGGGAUGACGUCAAAUCAUCAUGCCCCUUAUGUCUUGGGCUUCACGCAUGCUACAAUGGCCGGUACAAAGGGCUGCAAUACCGUGAGGUGGAGCGAAUCCCAAAAAGCCGGUCCCAGUUCGGAUUGAGGUCUGCAACUCGACCUCAUGAAGUCGGAGUCGCUAGUAAUCGCAGAUCAGCAACGCUGCGGUGAAUA
Molecule: ribosomal RNA, 581 nt
Filed under: uncultured Microbacterium sp.
Lineage: Bacteria; Bacillati; Actinomycetota; Actinomycetes; Micrococcales; Microbacteriaceae
Description: bacterial SSU rRNA
Rfam family: Bacterial small subunit ribosomal RNA
Source: RNAcentral